ACCCGUUUCCCAUUUAGGAAAAAAUAAAGUGCAUCUUGCUGCCAGCACGGUAUUCUUGGGGCAAACAGAAAAUAGGUAAAUUUCCUCCAAGAUCAAUUUUUAUCUUAUAUUCUGCUUAGUACCCAUACUUUCUUCUCUUUUUUACAGCUUUUUGCAUUUUGUAGACCUUAUUACUCUGGUAAAAUACUGCAUUUAUCAGACCUUCCGCAAAUAGCCCAGAAAUGCUCCUCAAAAAGUUGACACCUCACAUUGUGACUUUGGCACAAAUAUGCAGAAUAGAUGGAUUGGUUCGUGCAUAACAGGAAAAAAAUAGGAAUGUUAAACACCCCUCUACCUUCUACAUUUAUUUAUCUUUAUUUUAAAAUAAAACUUUUUGGGUUAAGCCAGUUUUUUUUUUUAAUUCAACUUGUAUUAAGUUGUCAAAACCAAGAGAAUGAGACCCUACCUGAAAAGAAGUCUCAGCGCAGAAAAACAAGUCCCCCAUCAGGUGGUUCUUACCUGCCGGUGGACUGUGUGUUUUACUUCUAACACGACUUAUUCCCAGCUUCAAGCAGAUGGUUAUAUAUAAAAGUCCAACCUGGGUAUUGAAAGAAUGCAUUCUUUUUGUGGAGUAUUGACUCUGAUUCUCUAUGAUGUCAUCUUGUGAACCCAGGGCUUUACUUAGUAGAUUUUAACCAAGGAGUUUGAAAUCUUGAUUAUCAUCCUCUCAUCUGCUCCACUCUCUGUCAAAGUCUUUGUCAAAACUCCAAGUUUGUUGAUAAAAGAUUGUGCUUUCAGUUCUCAUUAUAAUGCAGUUUCUCCUUAAGCCCGUAUUUCUUUGAGUACAUGAGUAAAUGAGAGAAUGAGUGAA
Molecule: long non-coding RNA, 850 nt
Filed under: Homo sapiens (human)
Lineage: Eukaryota; Metazoa; Chordata; Mammalia; Primates; Hominidae
Description: HSALNT0257968
Source: RNAcentral